Molecule: ribosomal RNA, 493 nt
Filed under: uncultured bacterium
Lineage: Bacteria
Description: partial 16S ribosomal RNA
Rfam family: Bacterial small subunit ribosomal RNA
Source: RNAcentral
AGUGAACGCUGGCGGUAGGCCUAACACAUGCAAGUCGAACGGCAGCACAGUAAGAGCUUGCUCUUACGGGUGGCGAGUGGCGGACGGGUGAGGAAUACAUCGGAAUCUACUUUUUCGUGGGGGAUAACGUAGGGAAACUUACGCUAAUACCGCAUACGACCUACGGGUGAAAGCAGGGGAUCUUCGGACCUUGCGCGAUUGAAUGAGCCGAUGUCGGAUUAGCUAGUUGGCGGGGUAAAGGCCCACCAAGGCGACGAUCCGUAGCUGGUCUGAGAGGAUGAUCAGCCACACUGGAACUGAGACACGGUCCAGACUCCUACGGGAGGCAGCAGUGGGGAAUAUUGGACAAUGGGCGCAAGCCUGAUCCAGCCAUACCGCGUGGGUGAAGAAGGCCUUCGGGGUUGUAAAGCCCUUUUGUUGGGAAAGAAAAGCAGCAGGUUAAUACCCCGCUGUUCUGACGGUACCCAAAGAAUAAGCACCGGCUAACUUCGUG